Molecule: long non-coding RNA, 210 nt
Filed under: Elaeis guineensis (African oil palm)
Lineage: Eukaryota; Viridiplantae; Streptophyta; Magnoliopsida; Arecales; Arecaceae
Description: long non-coding RNA (EGUI_LNC045667)
Source: RNAcentral
AAUGAAAGUCCUUAGGAUUAUUUUAAAUCGAUAAAGAAAGAUUUAUCAUUUAGUCCUUAAAUGAGUUUGCAACCAAAUGAUAUGAUAUUACUAGGAUGAUAGCUAUUAUUGGGUUUUGAUCAUGUAGUGGAAUGAGAACUUUAAAAAUUUUUAAAACAUACAUAUCGAAAGCUUUAACAAUUAAAACUGUUGAACCAAAAUCUGAACCCU